RNAcentral lists this long non-coding RNA (219 nucleotides) under Elaeis guineensis (African oil palm). Its description in RNAcentral is "long non-coding RNA (EGUI_LNC078915)". Lineage: Eukaryota; Viridiplantae; Streptophyta; Magnoliopsida; Arecales; Arecaceae. The record is from RNAcentral.
GGAGCACCCGCAACUUCAGUUUAGACUUCCCUUACAGGUCCCGAUGGCGGACGCGAUCCCCUCGACUCUAGCUUCUUCGAUGUUGAUGAAAUUCUGCACCAACAAAAUUGACGCUAGAGGAAGGGCCACUGUGUCUUCGCAGUACCCUUGUUCUUAAAGGAGUGCUCAAUGGGACCGUCUCCGAUCAUCUUCUCCGACAUCUUCUUCUCCUUCUCCUGC